CGCAAGCCUGACGGAGCAACGCCGCGUGAGGGAGGAAGGCCUGUGGGUUGUAAACCUCUUUUCUCAGGGAAGAAGAUCUGACGGUACCUGAGGAAUCAGCAUCGGCUAACUCCGUGCCAGCAGCCGCGGUAAGACGGAGGAUGCAAGCGUUAUCCGGAAUUAUUGGGCGUAAAGCGUCCGUAGGCGGCUAAUCAAGUCUGCUGUCAAAGCCCACAGCUCAACUGUGGAGAGGCAGUGGAAACUGAAUAGCUAGAGUGUGGUAGGGGCAGAGUGAAUUCCUGGUGUAGCGGUGAAAUGCGUAGAUAUCAGGAAGAACACCAGUGGCGAAGGCGCUCUGCUGGGCCAUAACUGACGCUGAUGGACGAAAGCUAGGGGAGCG
This 379-nucleotide ribosomal RNA is filed under the name uncultured cyanobacterium. RNAcentral describes it as "bacterial SSU rRNA". It matches the Rfam family "Bacterial small subunit ribosomal RNA", at positions 376 to 770 of the family's 1533-position model. Lineage: Bacteria; Bacillati; Cyanobacteriota. The record is from RNAcentral.